CCCUGAGGCUGUGUCGGGUCGGACCGGCAGGCAGUGGCCGCUGGAGAGGCGAGGGGAGCGAGUGUCUGGUGGCCGGGCCGGGCGGUGGGUGGCUGGGACGGUGGAGUCGGAGCGUGUGCUGGUCGGUGACGCUGGUGGAUAACGGGAGACGGCAGGACAUGCCCUCGCUGGUGUCGGCACAGCAGUGUUUGGUGGGGGCCGCCACAGCCGUCUUGUCUCUUGAUCGCACCAGAACAGCAGCAGCGGACCGAGACAGCAGACAGCAGAGCGGCACCAACCGGCCACUUCGAAACGGGGCGUGUCCGCGUGAUUCAGACUCUGUGGACCACCGUCCGCUGUCUGCCCGGUCUCCGACACAACGGGCCUCGGACUACAGUACUACCAAAUAUCGGACUACAGAACUACCGGUCGUCAAACUACAGUACUACAACAAGUCCUCGGACUACAGAAUUACUGGUCAUCUAACUACAGUAAUACCAGUUCUCGGACUACGGCACUACCGGUCCGCAGACUACAGUUCAGCUAAAUGGGGACGAUUAUCCGGCCCGCUACAGAGAGAGACUCACCAUCAGUUAGCUCCAACCUGACCACUGGAGGAGCUCCUGUCCUGCUGGCACCGCCGGCGGUCGCCGUGCUUCCAACGCUGCUCGCUACGCGGAGGUGGCGCGCCUUCUGGUACAGUCCGGCGCGCGGAUCGACCUACUGAACGAGGCGGAGCGCCCGUCGCUGCAGAUGGCGCCACCGGGACUGGCGAGCGACCUCCAGCAGCUGGCGCCGCCCUCGGUGGAGCUCACUGCUGCCACAGGUGGCAGCACCGUUGCCCACAAGGCUCGACUGUCCGUCAGUGCGCGUGUUUCGAACCGACGGACCUCUGUUCCGUGCUUCUGAUCCAGAACAGAGUCGUUCUGGGCCAGUCAGCGUUUGUAACUAUGACUUGACUUGUGUUGAAUCUGAUGCAGCGAUGCUACCAAAAGACUUACCGUUGCGGAUUCGUCGACAACAGGUUCCCAAUAACGACUGAUUAGCGAUCUUUGUGGCGUGGCUCGCCUCUUCUCAAUCUGAGAACGUGUUUUGUAUCGCUCACUCAUUGUAUGGUCGUAUAUCUCUCAUGUUGCGCGUUCGCUGCAGCUGUACCUUGUCGACUGCUUGUGCUGAGUAACUAAGUGAUUUUCAUUGACGGCGGGUGCUAAACUGACGUCUUUUGUCGCCCUGUGGCUUAUCUCAGGUUAGCGUGGCG
Long non-coding RNA from Amphibalanus amphitrite, 1237 nucleotides. RefSeq lists it as uncharacterized. The record is from RefSeq and is a predicted model, not a curated record. The transcript has 5 exons. Lineage: Eukaryota; Metazoa; Arthropoda; Thecostraca; Balanomorpha; Balanidae.